GACGAGGCACACGGACCCCACGAGCGCGGCGGCGGCGACAGCAGCGGGCCAGGCAAGAGCACAACAUGGCGGCGGGCAGGACGGACCGAGCUACAGCAGCGGCCGCGCGAGGAAGUGAGGUCUCUGGCGAAGGCGGGAAGCGCUGCCCCUCCCCCCGCCGCCGCUUCCCUAUCACCCUCGCACAGAAACUCCCGCACACUCACACACCUCUGCUCAGGAGUCCAGGAAGAGCAGGAGCCGCCCCCGCGCUCCUACGGAGUCGGGCAAUGCAGAGGCCCAGGCGCGGCGGAGGGGAGGGGGAAGUGUGCGUCACGGAGAACGGAGCGCGCGCGAAGCGGGGGCACAAGCAAGAUGGCGGCCACGCCGUUUGCACCGUUUCCCCUUUUCCCUUCCCCCUCCCUUGGCGCCUGGACUCCCAGUAUCGUGCGGUGCGCAGAAGCUGUGCUCCUUGAGGUCUCGCGAGAAUUGGGAAGGGGCGACGACAGAGGGAGGCGGAAUGAGAUCUGAGAGUUUUAACCCCGCCCCCUUUCGGGAGCUCGAGAUCUGAGUUUUGACCCCGCCCCCUUUCGGGGGAUCCGGAGGCGCUGCCCAGUGACCUCCACCACCCUGCCUAUCCUUGUGGAUCUCCUUGGUGCGAGCUUGAAUUUUAGGAAAUAAGUAGGUGUGUGCGCGUGCCCUUGAGUUUUAGGAACUAAGUAGGGGCGUGUGUGUGUAUUUGUGUUUUUAAUUUGGGGAGAAAGAACUGGGGGAUGAAGGUCGACAUGGCGUUCCAGAUUAAGCAUGCCGUUCAAGUAGACAGCUACUGGCACCUUAAAUUCAUAAAAGAGCAUUUAGCACCAAACUGUAAAGUGAUGUCCUCUAGAAUAAAGAACAGUACUUACCAAGAAUAGUUAGCUUGUAACCUUACGUCGACAUAGUUGUUCUUAUUUGAAUGCAGAUUUUAAAGUUUUAUCACGCAGUUGGAAACCACAGCUACUAUGAGCAUGGAUUUUUUCAUACUUAUCUCUUUCAUUUCCGUGACCACUUGGUCCAAAGGCAUCAGGAUUGUAUCCAUUUUACAAAUGAUAAAACUGAAGCUCAAAAAGGUUAAGUAACUUGAUCUAAGUCCCCACAGCUAGUAAGUGUCAAAACCCCAUCCGAAUAACUUCAAAACCUGUAGGUAUAGUCAUCAAAUGUGUCUUGAAUGGAAUUACCUACAGUGAGAGUUAGUGCAUUAGGUAACAAGCGCAGAGAGGAAUGACUGCCUCUGCUGAUGGUAACCUUGAAUUUUACAAAUGACACUGGAGCCUUUCUGAGACUAGUGUUGCAUGGGUCCUCAAUAAAAUCACACUGUUGUUACUCACUUCCUUUGGGUUUAUAACCCUGGUGAUAAAGUAAUUGAGAAUAGUGGAGUAAACCCUCGACUUGAAUUCAGGAAAAUUGUUUUCAAAUCCAGUUUCAAUAAAUCUCACAUCAGGCACUCUAUUUGAUGAAUGAAUGAACAAAACCUAACUAUAAGACACUUGACUUCAGGGAGUCUCAAUUCCUUCAUCUGUAAAAAGAUCUAAUUCCUAACUUUUGGUAAUGUUGGGGAGAGUGAAUGAAAUAAUGUGAGAGUGCUUCGUAAAUUGCAAAAGUGUUAUAAAGAAGUUACUGGUAAGAGCUACGAGUGUCUCGCUGCACUCUAGCAUGGGCGACAGUGCGAGGCCCUGUCUC
Homo sapiens (human) is the source of this 1695-nucleotide long non-coding RNA. Ensembl annotates it as NFYC antisense RNA 1. Its record names the gene NFYC-AS1. The record is from Ensembl. Lineage: Eukaryota; Metazoa; Chordata; Mammalia; Primates; Hominidae.